GGGGUUGUGGCUCAUCGGUGAGUGCUCACCUAACACGUGCAAGGCCCUGGGUUCAAUCCUCAGCACCACA
Molecule: transfer RNA, 70 nt
Filed under: Marmota monax (woodchuck)
Lineage: Eukaryota; Metazoa; Chordata; Mammalia; Rodentia; Sciuridae
Description: tRNA.Val
Source: RNAcentral